Molecule: long non-coding RNA, 2426 nt
Filed under: Aplysia californica (California sea hare)
Lineage: Eukaryota; Metazoa; Mollusca; Gastropoda; Aplysiida; Aplysiidae
Description: uncharacterized LOC118479165
Source: RNAcentral
CCAGACGAGAGUUGAACCUUCGCUCUACCUGCCCGUGGAUUUACGUGCAGAAAGACAACGGAGCCGACGUCUACCCAAGAUAUGUUCGCGAGGCGAAAUGUCUGUGCGACGAGUGUCUGGAAAGUACCUCAAUGAGCUGCCAAAGACUGGAGGUGAACGCUACAGUUUUCAGACGGGUGGGUUGUAAGGAUGGGGUCGCCCUUAUGAAAAAGGAACAGAUUCUGGUCAAAGUGGGAUGCUACUGCGCAAGCCCAGUCAACGGUUCCGGCCCAGUCAUCGAUACCUCUAACGUCAUUUGGAGCUAAACACAAGGUUUGAACCUGUGUCUUCCAGAACAAAAACCGGCGAGUAACGCCUGAGAUUCGAUGAUGUUUUCCUCUUGACGAGAAGCUACAAUGGUAAAAGUGUGAACGAUCUGAUAUUCUAUUUCUAUCUAUCUAUCUAUCUAUCUAUCUAUAUCUUACACUCUCCCACCCCUCAUCCCAUCCCUGUCCAUAAGCCUGCCUUUAGUUCUGGAACUCCCUUAAUCUUCUAUGUAUCUAUUUACUCACAAUACCUUUCUCAAUCUUUUCAAUCUUUUCUUUUUUUCCAAUCUUCGUUCACAUAUUGUAGUCUCGUCAAGGAAAUUCGUAGAUCAAAUUGAUCUAACAUUAGCACACAACGUGUGCUCUAUGUGCUCGAUAUCUAUUUCAUACGUAUUCUUUUUUCGUUUUCCUCUUUUUGUACAUAGAAUAUUACCUUCAUGUUUUAACCUGAAUACAUUCCACCUUUACUAUAUUUUCAAGCACAAAAUAAUCUGUAAAACUUAUACUGUUUCAUUCAGUUUGAGAGUGUUUCAUUUUUAUUAUGCUUCUGUGGUUGCAAAACUUGGUGUUAAUAACUUUCAUUUUUAAUUGUAGUUUUAGUUUUUGAAAAAGAUACAAUAUGGCAGAAAACCACAAUUCUUUAACUGCAAGCAUCAAUUAUUUUCUCCGAGACAUUAUCCUUAUAAUAUGAUUUGAGGAAAUAUUAAUUAAUUGUUCAGAACAAGCUACAGCACAAACCCGAAUUCUUCAGAUUUAAAACGGACCUAUGGAAUCUAUAACGCCUCAAUAAGCUCUAAGACAGAUGAGUCUCAAGAAGAUAUUUAAUUGGUUUUAAAUUAUCAGUAUCAAGUAGUCAAAAUUUUUCAAAACAAAUUAUGUUUCUAUGAUCUCGUGAUGAUGCUGCUCCGUUUCGUUUAUUAACAUAAUAUCUAAAUCUUUAUUUUAAAACCACAUACUUGUGUUCAGAGAUAAGGCUUUGUUUUACCUUCCCUUUACUGUACAAAUGGAUUUUUACAUCAAUUUAUUUAUGGAUACUUGCACGAACUAUUGAAAAUGUUUUUGCCUUCUUUGUAAUUUUCGGAUGAAUGAACAUUUCCUAAUAAUACGUAGUAUUCUUUUCUGUGAUUGAUCUACGUUUACGUCUUUCAACAUUGCCUUGAUUUCUCGUCCUUUUCAUGAAAUACUCAACGAAUAAGAUAUCAUCCUUGCAGUAUUACUUACGACUACUUUCGAAUUGUUCCUGUGCAUAUUUAAAACAUAUCAGGCUAAGGUCGUUUUGACAUACAGACCAGAGCCUUCCCUGUCAAACAGAGCUGUUGCAUAAAAUACCGGAGAUAGAACUACAUCACUGUAGAUACUGUAUAAAAUGUGAUGUAUUCAGUUGGGGGAUUUUUACAUGUUAUACUUGAAUUACAACUGUACAAUUUAUAUAUGAGCACUCCCUCGAUUGAUAAAUGAGCAAGUCUCCUCUGAAUAGAGGGGACAAAAAGUAAAAUAUGCCAUGUAUGUGUGUUCGUUUGUGUGUGUGUGUGUGUGUGUGUGUGUGUGUGUGUGUGUGUGUGUGUGUGUGUGUGUGUGUGUGUUUGUGUGCGUUUGUGUAUGAAACGCACAACAUUAUGUAAUUGUAUUGUAAAUACAAUGUUGAUAACAAGGAGAUUAGCAUAAUAUUUGUGAUGGUCUGGUGCUUUAAAUAAGUCUCGUCUUGUUAUGAUAUGUUCAAUAAUCCCAAGCUGCCAUAUCCAAAGUCACACGAGUACUCAAUAACUUAUUUGUCUCUCCAGAAACAUAAAAUUUUAUUGUUUCAGUAUUCUAAUAUUUCAGCGUUACAGAAACGCAAUUCCCAUGGAAAUCCGUACUGCCACUCAUUACAAUAUUUCAUAUUUUCUGUGUUCCCUUUGUCUUUUUAUGUAAAGCAACUGAUGUUUUAUCCAAUAAUAAUAUUGUUUAUUUAUUUAAGUUGCCUCUUUGAUAUUGCCCUAUGUAAAUUUUACCUGUUGAUUUUGUAUUUAGUUUGCCAUUCGCAGCGAACGACUGUUGUUAUAAUGUUAUUUAUUUGACCAGAUUUGGUCUCAAAUAAUGCUUUUAUGAAAUAAAAUAAUUUAAAUUUGGAGAAAAAAAAAA